UGAGGCUGAGCAUGACUUACCCAGACACAGAGGGGCUGAAUGGCUACAGAGACUCUAAGCAUGAAGUCUUCCUACAACAUGCUUGAGUGGAAGUGAAUCAUCAUUUCUAAGAAAUGAGGACUGCAAUGAUUCACCAGAAAGCUUAUCGGAUACCGUGGUAUGAACGCCUAAGAAGAUCUGGUUUUUACAGUCUGGCUUCUCCCACCCACUAAGUGAUCCUGGCCCCAGUGCUCAUCUCUGAGCCCCUAUACAUAUAUACAUAGUGUGUACUCUGCAUUUUAACCAUGGUACUGCUUCACCAGAAAGGUGACAUUUAAUACAUGCCGAGGUCUUAGAAUGCCUCCCCACUUGGUAAACCAUCCCCAAACGGUGCACAUUUACCUGGAAAGCCAGGUUUGGACAUAUUCAGGGAAACCUACCCCCGAUUAAAGACUAGUUGCCAGGC
Molecule: long non-coding RNA, 445 nt
Organism: Neogale vison (American mink)
Lineage: Eukaryota; Metazoa; Chordata; Mammalia; Carnivora; Mustelidae
Exons: 3
Source: RefSeq, a predicted model, not a curated record